This 376-nucleotide ribosomal RNA is filed under the name uncultured bacterium. RNAcentral's name for it is "bacterial SSU rRNA". It matches the Rfam family "Bacterial small subunit ribosomal RNA", at positions 524 to 898 of the family's 1533-position model. The record is from RNAcentral.
AACGGAGGGUGCAAGCGUUGUUCGGAAUUACUGGGCGUAAAGCGCGUGCAGGUGGUUUUUUAAGUUUCGUGUGAAAUCCCAUGGCUCAACCAUGGAACGGCACGGAAAACUGGAAGGCUUGAGUACGGGAGAAGAGGGCGGAAUUCCCAGUGUAGAGGUGAAAUUCGUAGAUAUUGGGAGGAACACCGGUGGCGAAAGCGGCUCUCUAGACCGAUACUGACGCUCAUACGCGAGAGCGUGGGUAGCAAACAGGAUUAGAUACCCUGGUAGUCCACGCUGUAAACGAUGGAUGCUAGGUGUUCGGGGAGUUGACCCCCCGAGUGCCGAAGCCAACGCAUUAAGCAUCCCGCCUGGGAAGUACGGUCGCAAGACUAAA